AAAAGGGAACCGUUGGAGCCAGACUGGCUUGUCUGUAAUCAAUCUAGGUUUCGUGCCUGGAUGCACUUGCAGACUAUUUGCCUGCCAACGACAAUUUUUUUUGAGUGUAAAAACUAUUGGAAAUGUGGCCAAUAUUUAUUUAUUGGUGUUAUAGUCCUUUAGAAAAUACCUUGAAUUGGAUUGAGGAACGCAGCGAAUGCUUCUCUUUUGAGGCAAAGUCUUUUAUUGGGAUUUACGGAUCAGACUGUGGCAUUGUCACAAGACUUGAAGUUUAAACCUAUUUUUGAACUUUUAUUCGCUUAGGUUGUUGGCUUAAUGACUCUAAAUGACCCGUCUUGAAACACGGACCAAGGAGUCCACCAUUAGUGCGAGUAUUUGGGUGCCAAACCCAUAUGCGCAAGGAAACUGAAUGAUAUGAAUCCAUUUAGGAGGCAAUAUCGUCCGGCGUUGACGUUUUAUACUGAAGUGACCGAGAUAAAGCACUAAUGAUGGGACCCGAAAGAUGGUGAACUAUGCCUGAAUAGGGUGAAGCCAGAGGAAACUCUGGUGGAGGCUCGUAGCGAUUCUGACGUGCAAAUCGAUCGUCAAAUUUGGGUAUAGGGGCGAAAG
This 609-nucleotide ribosomal RNA is filed under the name Rhizopus stolonifer. Its description in RNAcentral is "eukaryotic LSU rRNA". It matches the Rfam family "Eukaryotic large subunit ribosomal RNA", at positions 410 to 929 of the family's 3401-position model. The record is from RNAcentral. Lineage: Eukaryota; Fungi; Mucoromycota; Mucoromycetes; Mucorales; Rhizopodaceae.